RNAcentral lists this ribosomal RNA (353 nucleotides) under Brachybacterium rhamnosum. RNAcentral's name for it is "bacterial SSU rRNA". It matches the Rfam family "Bacterial small subunit ribosomal RNA", at positions 977 to 1332 of the family's 1533-position model. Lineage: Bacteria; Bacillati; Actinomycetota; Actinomycetes; Micrococcales; Dermabacteraceae. The record is from RNAcentral.
AGGCUUGACAUGCACCGGACGACCUCAGAGAUGGGGUUUUCUUUGGACUGGUGCACAGGUGGUGCAUGGUUGUCGUCAGCUCGUGUCGUGAGAUGUUGGGUUAAGUCCCGCAACGAGCGCAACCCUCGUUCCAUGUUGCCAGCGCGUAAUGGCGGGGACUCUUGGGAGACUGCCGGGGUCAACUCGGAGGAAGGUGGGGACGACGUCAAAUCAUCAUGCCCCUUAUGUCUUGGGCUUCACGCAUGCUACAAUGGCCGGUACAAUGGGUUGCGAAACUGUGAGGUGGAGCGAAUCCCAAAAAGCCGGUCUCAGUUCGGAUUGGGGUCUGCAACUCGACCCCAUGAAGUCGGAGU